RNAcentral lists this long non-coding RNA (533 nucleotides) under Gossypium raimondii (Peruvian cotton). RNAcentral's name for it is "long non-coding RNA (GRAI_LNC004534)". The record is from RNAcentral. Lineage: Eukaryota; Viridiplantae; Streptophyta; Magnoliopsida; Malvales; Malvaceae.
AUUUCGAUGACCUUACAACGCUUUCACUGCACCACUCCUUGAGGAAAACCAGUAGCCAACAACUUUUAUAGUUCUAGAACGAAAAGGAGAAAAGUAGAGGAAAAAUAGAAAAGAAAAUCAGCAACUAGAGGAGAACAAACCGAAAAGAAAAAGAUAAGGGAGAACAAAAAACAAUAUUCAGCCAAGAGAAAAGAAGAAAGAAAACGAUAUUCGGCUACAAAAGAAAAAAAAGAACCAAAGGCUAUACGGCCAAAACGAAAAGGGCAAAAAAGGAAAAAGCAGAGACAAUACGAACAAACCCGAGUAUACUUUGAAGUCUUUGUAAGACUCAGCACCAAAAUAAAGAGGAGAAAACAAGACUGCUCACCCACACUGAAGCAAACAGGGAGAAAAAUAACACAAAGAAGAAACCAACAAUCCCAGAAAAGACGAAUAUGACCCUAAAACUCCCCCUAGUCGAAUUUCCCAGACUCAAAACUCCCCCAAACGACACAUUAUCCCCCUCCUAAUCAAAUUCCUUGAUUUCCUCCUAA